Long non-coding RNA from Acanthochromis polyacanthus (spiny chromis), 2658 nucleotides. RefSeq lists it as uncharacterized. The record is from RefSeq and is a predicted model, not a curated record. Lineage: Eukaryota; Metazoa; Chordata; Actinopteri; Pomacentridae. The transcript is spliced from 7 exons.
ACGGGUUCUGCAGGUCGUCACCAGGCUGGAAGUCCUGAGAGGACAGUUAGAGGGCUGUUCAGAAGAUGUGAAGGAUAUGGUGCUCCUCCUUCUAUCCUAUUUUGAUGAAAAAGAGCAGAGCCUCUUCCACUAUGUAGAAGCAACAUGUCUGGCUAAAGAAGUGGACGUGGAAAGCCUGCCUGUGACACCUUGCAUCAUUGUAUGUGGACCUACCUGCUAUACCUCAACGCGGUUCAUGCUGAGUGUAGACCGCAAGGUUGUGAAUGACCUCAUCCCCACCUUCAUCUCUGCCAUCUGUUUGAUGUUUGGGAGCUACUAUUGCCUCAAUAUCCACUACCCUAUGGAGCUGGGUUCUACGCUGGAGUUCCUUCAGAGGUGUUUCUUCAACAUCAAUCCAGAGAAGGGCACAAAAGUUGAGACCAAGAAAAACAAGAAGCAACUGUCAGUGAACCCAAGAGUCCUCACUCUCAUCGCAGAUCUCUCUGAUCAUGAGUGGAGAGACACAUGCUGAAGAUGGAGUUAACUGUUAAGACUGAACUUUUAUGCACUGUUCAGAUUCAAAUUGCAACAUGCUAUACACUUCAACAACACUGAAACAUUCUAAAAAACUUGCCAGUUUAUGCCAAUAUGUUAUAGAUGAGACGGUGUAUUGUUUCCACAGCAAUUAAUCUCUAUACUACUGUUCCAAUUGCUGGCUUUUCAACCUUUUUUAUUUCUGAAUAUAUUUGUUGUGUCUUCAGAUAUAAGUGAGGAUAACAAUAUUAAGUUUACAGGUAGAGUUGCAUUUAUAUAGUGUUGAUCCACAAAAAAGUAAAAAGGAAUCUACACACAACAAAAAAUUGUUCCAAUUGCGGCAGGUAGCGGGAAAAAUAAACAGAAAAGACACAAGGUAGCGCUAUCAACCAUCCCACCUUGUAUAUAAUCUAUGAAAUGAUCUGAGAAUAAUGAUAGUAAAACUGGAUUUACACACACCAGUCUAAAAAAAGCACAACAGUGUACAGACUCCUUUUACUUUUUUGUGACCACUUGGUUCAGUUUGUAUUGCACCUGAUACAGGACCUGGAUGUGUGCACUUUUUCUAUUUAAGAUUGAUGCCCUGGGAUGCAGAAUAAUGUUCUUUCAUAUUUAUCUUGUUAGCGUCAUAGUUUUAAUAAACAGUUUUGAGAUGUCAUGUGUAUGUAAUGUGUCUUGAAAUGUUUGACAUUACUAAUUCCCAAUGAUCAGCAGCAAUACAAGAGCAUUGUUUUUUUUGUCAUUUGUGUUUGAGGCUGUUUCAGUUUGAUCAGAGAAUUCAAAUGAAAGACUGUCUAUAUGUUCUGAAAAUAGUAAAUGGUGGUUUACUUCUGGGUUAGUUCAGAUUUAUUUAUUCAUAGUCUGGAGAAGUAGACAAUACUUAACUGCUGUGCAUGUACUCCUGUCUGUUUCUCCAAACACGGGAUGUGCUGACAGUCAUCUACUGUAGGUACUGACUAUGGAGAAAGUAAAAUCAUAUGACCCUAUGCCACAUUUUUUUGUAAGUCAAUGCUGCAUUUAAAUUAAUAAAACAGGGUUAUGGAAAGCAUUUUAGUCUGUUUCAGUACUUUUGUGACACCUUCAGUGGAGGUUGACGGCUGGUGACAUUGAGCAUUGCCCAUCUGAGAAUCUCCUUUAAUGGUAAGCAAACUGAUGUCACAAAUUGUAUGUAUCUUAGGAAUAAAUUGUCAUUGUUAUUUGUCCUCACUGCUCUUGUAUAAAUUAUCUUGUCUUUCACUCCUGCCACCUUUCAGGCAUUGCUGAGUAGGUGUAGACUUUGGGGCAACAACUCGUUGGUGAGAAAAACGAGUGUCUGAAUAGAUGACAGAAAACAAUGGAGAGAGAGGGAUUUGAAGCAAAGGGUCCAGGCUGGAAUUUGAUCUUGGCAUGUGGACUAAGGUCUUAUUACGUCUUAUAGUGGCUACCCUUAACAUGGACUUCACCAAAUGGGUUUGAGCGGCUCCUGAAAUCAUUUUUUAUAGAGGGGAUCGUGCCAAGCCACAAUGCACACCUGACUGACAACUUGUGAAUCUUCAAGCUAAACUGAUGACAGCACAUCCUCAAAGUUCCAGUUUGCUGAACAUUGAACAUCUGUCCUACCUGUGUUUAGUCAAGUCUGGACCCUGGACCUCAAUCUUGUCAAGGGAAAUUAGAGAGAGAAUCAUGCCAGCAGACAUCUGAUGGCCAACAGUGAAUCUUCAACCAAAGCCAGUGGUUCCAGUUCCAGUUCCAGUUCCAGCAUCGUGUGUGAUAUGAUCCCAUUCUGAGCCUCCUGUUCAGUUAAGUCUGAACUCAAUGAAUUAUUAAUCUUAACCAGGCAAGUGACUAUGUUUUUGCAUGAACUAUUUCUCAUAUGAUCACGUGCUGUUUUUUCCCCAAUAUCUAAACACUGCCUUGUUGCUGUAGUGGAUAAGUUGUUGUAUUUCAGAGAAUGCUUAAAACAAUUUCUUAAAGUUUAUUAAUGAUAAUAUGUUUAAUUUGUUAUUUCCUUUGUAAUUUACCUUUAGCAGUUUUUGACUGUAAAAUCUGUGCCAACCAACUUUAUUAUCUGAUGUGUUGUAUUUCUUGCAAUGACAUUAUGGUGACCACAGCUGCUGGUAAUUCACUGUAAAGUUGAACUUAGCAAUAAAGUACCGUAAUACCUCA